GGGUUGUGAGGUUAAGCGACUAAGCGUACACGGUGGAUGCCCUGGCAGUCAGAGGCGAUGAAGGGCGUGCUAAUCUGCGAUAAGCGCCGGUAAGGUGAUAUGAACCGUUAUAACCGGCGAUACCCGAAUGGGGAAACCCAGUGUGACUCGUCACACUAUCAUUAACUGAAUCCAUAGGUUAAUGAGGCGAACCGGGGGAACUGAAACAUCUAAGUACCCCGAGGAAAAGAAAUCAACCGAGAUUCCCCCAGUAGCGGCGAGCGAACGGGGAGGAGCCCAGAGCCUGAAUCAGCAUGUGUGUUAGUGGAAGCGUCUGGAAAGGCGCGCGAUACAGGGUGACAGCCCCGUACACAAAAGCGCAUGUGCUGUGAGCUCGAUGAGUAGGGCGGGACACGUGGUAUCCUGUCUGAAUAUGGGGGGACCAUCCUCCAAGGCUAAAUACUCCUGACUGACCGAUAGUGAACCAGUACCGUGAGGGAAAGGCGAAAAGAACCCCGGCGAGGGGAGUGAAAAAGAACCUGAAACCGUGUACGUACAAGCAGUGGGAGCACCCUUCGGGGUGUGACUGCGUACCUUUUGUAUAAUGGGUCAGCGACUUAUAUUCUGUAGCAAGGUUAACCGAAUAGGGGAGCCGGAGGGAAACCGAGUCUUAAUUGGGCGUUAAGUUGCAGGGUAUAGACCCGAAACCCGGUGAUCUAGCCAUGGGCAGGUUGAAGGUUGGGUAACACUAACUGGAGGACCGAACCGACUAAUGUUGAAAAAUUAGCGGAUGACCUGUGGCUGGGGGUGAAAGGCCAAUCAAACCGGGAGAUAGCUGGUUCUCCCCGAAAGCUAUUUAGGUAGCGCCUCGUGAAUUCAUCUCCGGGGGUAGAGCACUGUUUCGGCUAGGGGGCCAUCCCGGCUUACCAACCCGAUGCAAACUGCGAAUACCGGAGAAUGUUAUCACGGGAGACACACGGCGGGUGCUAACGUCCGUCGUGAAGAGGGAAACAACCCAGACCGCCAGCUAAGGUCCCAAAGUCAUGGUUAAGUGGGAAACGAUGUGGGAAGGCCCAGACAGCCAGGAUGUUGGCUUAGAAGCAGCCAUCAUUUAAAGAAAGCGUAAUAGCUCACUGGUCGAGUCGGCCUGCGCGGAAGAUGUAACGGGGCUAAACCAUGCACCGAAGCUGCGGCAGCGACGCUUAUGCGUUGUUGGGUAGGGGAGCGUUCUGUAAGCCUGUGAAGGUGGCCUGUGAGGGUUGCUGGAGGUAUCAGAAGUGCGAAUGCUGACAUAAGUAACGAUAAAGCGGGUGAAAAGCCCGCUCGCCGGAAGACCAAGGGUUCCUGUCCAACGUUAAUCGGGGCAGGGUGAGUCGACCCCUAAGGCGAGGCCGAAAGGCGUAGUCGAUGGGAAACGGGUUAAUAUUCCCGUACUUGGUGUUACUGCGAAGGGGGGACGGAGAAGGCUAUGUUGGCCGGGCGACGGUUGUCCCGGUUUAAGCGUGUAGGUGUGUGUUCCAGGUAAAUCCGGUUCACUUUAACACUGAGGCGUGACGACGAGGCACUACGGUGCUGAAGCAACAAAUGCCCUGCUUCCAGGAAAAGCCUCUAAGCAUCAGGUAACAUCAAAUCGUACCCCAAACCGACACAGGUGGUCAGGUAGAGAAUACCAAGGCGCUUGAGAGAACUCGGGUGAAGGAACUAGGCAAAAUGGUGCCGUAACUUCGGGAGAAGGCACGCUGACACGUAGGUGAAGUGAUUUACUCAUGGAGCUGAAGUCAGUCGAAGAUACCAGCUGGCUGCAACUGUUUAUUAAAAACACAGCACUGUGCAAACACGAAAGUGGACGUAUACGGUGUGACGCCUGCCCGGUGCCGGAAGGUUAAUUGAUGGGGUCAGCGCAAGCGAAGCUCCUGAUCGAAGCCCCGGUAAACGGCGGCCGUAACUAUAACGGUCCUAAGGUAGCGAAAUUCCUUGUCGGGUAAGUUCCGACCUGCACGAAUGGCGUAAUGAUGGCCAGGCUGUCUCCACCCGAGACUCAGUGAAAUUGAACUCGCUGUGAAGAUGCAGUGUACCCGCGGCAAGACGGAAAGACCCCGUGAACCUUUACUAUAGCUUGACACUGAACAUUGAGCCUUGAUGUGUAGGAUAGGUGGGAGGCUUUGAAGCGUGGACGCCAGUCUGCGUGGAGCCGACCUUGAAAUACCACCCUUUAAUGUUUGAUGUUCUAACGUGGACCCGUAAUCCGGGUUGCGGACAGUGUCUGGUGGGUAGUUUGACUGGGGCGGUCUCCUCCUAAAGAGUAACGGAGGAGCACGAAGGUUGGCUAAUCCUGGUCGGACAUCAGGAGGUUAGUGCAAUGGCAUAAGCCAGCUUGACUGCGAGCGUGACGGCGCGAGCAGGUGCGAAAGCAGGUCAUAGUGAUCCGGUGGUUCUGAAUGGAAGGGCCAUCGCUCAACGGAUAAAAGGUACUCCGGGGAUAACAGGCUGAUACCGCCCAAGAGUUCAUAUCGACGGCGGUGUUUGGCACCUCGAUGUCGGCUCAUCACAUCCUGGGGCUGAAGUAGGUCCCAAGGGUAUGGCUGUUCGCCAUUUAAAGUGGUACGCGAGCUGGGUUUAGAACGUCGUGAGACAGUUCGGUCCCUAUCUGCCGUGGGCGCUGGAGAACUGAGGGGGGCUGCUCCUAGUACGAGAGGACCGGAGUGGACGCAUCACUGGUGUUCGGGUUGUCAUGCCAAUGGCACUGCCCGGUAGCUAAAUGCGGAAGAGAUAAGUGCUGAAAGCAUCUAAGCACGAAACUUGCCCCGAGAUGAGUUCUCCCUGAGACUUAGAGUCUCCUGAAGGAACGUUGAAGACGACGACGUUGAUAGGCCGGGUGUGUAAGCGCAGCGAUGCGUUGAGCUAACCGGUACUAAUGAACCGUGAGGCUUAACCUUACAACGCCGAAG
Molecule: ribosomal RNA, 2927 nt
Filed under: Salmonella enterica subsp. enterica serovar Manhattan str. SA20034532
Lineage: Bacteria; Pseudomonadati; Pseudomonadota; Gammaproteobacteria; Enterobacterales; Enterobacteriaceae
Description: bacterial LSU rRNA
Rfam family: Bacterial large subunit ribosomal RNA
Source: RNAcentral